This 1650-nucleotide long non-coding RNA is filed under the name Homo sapiens (human). RNAcentral describes it as "HSALNT0283941". Lineage: Eukaryota; Metazoa; Chordata; Mammalia; Primates; Hominidae. The record is from RNAcentral.
UAAUUCAAAUAUAUUUUAUUACAUUUAAUAAACAUUUAAAAUCCAAGUUGCAAUUACAGCUGCAAAAUUGCUUUUCCUUUCGAUGUAACAUAGUCACUUUUAUAUUUAGUUAUACUUUACAUUUUCUUGGUUACAUUGUUAAUGUGACAAGUUUUAUUAUUAGCAAUUUAUAUUAACUAUAAAAAUGGAAAUUUGAGAAGUGAAAUAUAAAAAAAUUAAAACUAAACAUGGAAAUUACACAAGAAACAUUUAAUAAUAUAUUUUAUUUCAACUUAGUUAAUAUCCCAUUAAAUGGUUUGGUGUCAUAAUCAUAAAAUUUUAUAAUGUUAAGAAGCAAGGGCACAAACAAAUGUUCACAUAUAUUUUAUACUUAACAAGAAAUGGAAAAACAUGAAUACUGAAAGAAACAAAAGAUUAUUCACGCUUUUAUUACUGAUUUGAUCUUACCAUAUAAUCUAACAACUGAACUUAUCUUAACCUAAUUUUAUUUAACUGAAUCUAAUGCCUUAUAUAUUCCAUCUAUAGCCUCUUUUCAUAAGACUACAUAAUGCAUAAUUACUUUUAGGACUUUCAUUGGGAAAAAGUAAUGCCAGUUUUAAGAAUUUGUUUUUACUAUUGUUUUAGCAUUUUUUCACUUUGUUCCUAACCCAGACACAGAUUUUACAGUUUUUAAAGUUACAUUAUGCUAACAGAUUUUUACUUAAAAGUCUCAGUAUUUUUAAGUCUGCAUAUCAUCAGAAAGAAAAACAAGUUAAUGAGUUUUAAAAAUUUGCUUAUUGUUUUAGAAGUUUUACUUUUUUGUUAUUGUUCUGUGCUUUAUAAUUGUUUAACCACUUUCUGGCACAAGUUCAGCAACUUGCAGGAUACAUUUUUCCUGGAAGUUUUGUUUUAAAAUUCUUAGCAUUUUUAAAUUGCCAUGUUAUCCAAAUAUUUUAAAAAUUGAUUAAUGCACAUUUUAAAAUAUUUUUGUUGUUUUUCAGGGUUUAACAUUUAAUUUUGGUUUUUGUUGUUGCUGCUGCUGUGUAUGUGUGUAUACGAGGGUUUAUUUCCACUGCUCCUGACUUGAGCACAAAUGUAGCAUCUUUCAAGCUCAGAAGUUAUAUUUACAAGUUCUAAUAUUCUUAAAUAUCCACUUUAGUUUAAAAACUAGUAAGAGUUUUAAAGAUUUUUGCGGUUUAAGUAAAUUAUAAAAAAAUUUUCUCUUUUUUUGUAGAUUUUAAAAUACUGUUUUUAAUUCCUUUUAAACUGGGUGCCAUUUUAGCAGCUUCUUAGUUGCAAUUUGAUCCAAAGCAUUAUAUGAAUGUUAUAGUGUUUUGUAAGUUUCGCAGAUGCUCAGAAAAUGCAAGUUCUAAAUUUUGUUUGUGCUUGUUUUGUUUGUUUUAUCGCAGUUUGAUUUUUGACCUUUUUUUCCCACAACUUGUUCCUAACCAGGAGACGAAUUUAGCCACUUGGUAGCUGCGUUGUGCUUCAAAAUGUUAUGCAAAUGACAUAGUAUUUUUACAUUUACAGAACCUCAACAAAUAGUAAUGAAAGUGUUACAAAUUAUUGUUGAGGUUUUUUUAUUUUUAUUUUUCUUGGGGUUCUCUGGUUUUUUUGUUUUGGUUUGGUUUAGUUUAUGUGUUGUUUUUUUUUUUUAUUUGCUUCCAAUCC